ACUGUUUUCAUACUUGGUAGCAUGAAUUCAAUUCGGAGUAAACCUGUUUGAAUCUAAAAGGGUGAUGAAUUGGGUUUCGAAAUCAAACUUAAAAAUAAUUUAACUUUGAAUUUGAUUUAUCUUAAAUCAUUUUUAUACAAACAAGUCCAAUACUUAGCCCCUUUAAGCCAAUCAUUGAUCAGAACUGGAGCCUCAAAUCCACCCUGGCCCUGCUGGUUGGUUUUUUGAUGUUUUGCCUUGGAAUGAAAACGUACCUUCCUCCAGCCAUAACAAAGAAGUUGCUUAAAGGGGCCACUAUUUUCCAAUCAAAGAAUUCAAUAUAUGCUUUUAAAAUUACAAGGCUAACUUUGAUUGAAUAUGGCAAAAUAAUUCUGGAAUAUUAGGUGCUUGCAGUUAAAAAUGGUGGAUUUUCAAUUUACAAAAAAUAAAACGAACUCAACUCUGUAUCCGUUUCUCUGAAAUUGAGUUUCAGGGUUUACCAGUUCAAGUUUUACUUGGGCAAGACUUUUGAAGUCCAAGUGCCUUCUUUCCAAUUCGAGUUUGGUGUUCUGGCUUACCCAUACUUCCCUAGCAAAAAGGAAGGGUUUCCAGAAUCAUAUCUUUAGACAGUGUGUGUUUCAUUUUUGUUUUGUUGCAUUCUGUCUUUUGGAUUCAAAUUCCUCAAACUUGAAAAGAAGUUGAUGGAUAGCACAAGGGUGCAUGUGGAUAUCUCACAUUGCUUGGGCAUGAUAAAGCUUGUGAGCUCCUAUCAAACAUUGUUAGGUCUUAGGUAAUUCCCUGUCUGUAAACCUGAAGAGUAGUGGCCUCUUUUGGCAACUAGUUUCUACUAUUUCUUCCCUAAUAUAGGGAAUAUGUAAAUAAAAAUUUGUUAGGACAAAUGUAAUUGCAAUAAAAACAACAUAAAAUUACAUUAAA
This is a long non-coding RNA of Mangifera indica (mango), 915 nucleotides long. RefSeq lists it as uncharacterized. The transcript has 2 exons. The record is from RefSeq and is a predicted model, not a curated record. NCBI's taxonomy places the organism in Eukaryota, Viridiplantae, Streptophyta, Magnoliopsida, Sapindales, Anacardiaceae.